This 1869-nucleotide long non-coding RNA is filed under the name Salmo salar (Atlantic salmon). Its description in RNAcentral is "lncRNA (ENSSSAG00000105422.1, ENSSSAG00000113539.1)". Lineage: Eukaryota; Metazoa; Chordata; Actinopteri; Salmoniformes; Salmonidae. The record is from RNAcentral.
ACACGGUCGUUUUGUUCACACACACACACACGGUCGUUUUGUUCACACACACACACACACGGUCGUUUUGUUCACACACACAUACACGGUUUCGUUUUGUUCACACACACGCACACACACAUACACACACGGUCGUUUUUUCAAACACACACACACAGUCGUUUUGUUCACACACACACACACACACACACGGUCGUUUUGUUCACACACACGGUCGUUUUGUUCACACACACAUACACACACGGUCGUUUUGUUCACACACACACACACACACACACACACACACACACACACACGGUCGUUUUGUUCACACACACACGGUCGUUUUGUUCACACACACACGGUCGUUUUGUUCACACACACACACAUACACACGGUAGGUUUGUUCUCUCACACACACACGGUCGUUUUGUUCACACACACACACACACACACACGGUCGUUUUGUUCACACACACACACACGGUCGUUUUGUUCACACACACACACGGUCGUUUUGUUCACACACACACACACACACACACACACACGGUCGUUUUGUUCACACACACGGUCGUUUUGUUCACACACACACACACACACGGUCGUUUUGUUCACACACACACACACACGGUCGUUUUGUUCACACACACACACACACGGUCGUUUUGUUCACACACACACACACACACACACACGGUCGUUUUGUUCACACACACACACGGUCGUUUUGUUCACACACACACGGUCGUUUUGUUCACACACACACGGUCGUUUUGUUCACACACACACACGGUCGUUUUGUUCACACACACACACACACACGGUCGUUUUGUUCACACACACACGGUCAUUUUGUUCACACACACACACACACACACACGGUCGUUUUGUUCACACACACACACGGUCGUUUUGUUCACACACACACACACGGUCGUUUUGUUCACACACACACACGGUUGUUUUGUUCACACACACACACACGGUCGUUUUGUUCACACACACACACGGCCGUUUUGUUCACACACACACACACACACGGUCGUUUUGUUCACACACACACACACAACACACGGUAGGUUUGUUCUCACACACACACACAUACACACACACACACACACGGUCGUUUUGUUCACACACACACACACGGUCGUUUUGUUCACACACACGGUCGUUUUGUUCACACACACACGCACACACGGUCGUUUUGUUCACACACACACACACGGUCGUUUUGUUCACACACACACACACGGUCGUUUUGUUCACACACACACACACGGUCGUUUUGUUCACACACACACACGGUCGUUUUGUUCACACACACACGGUCGUUUUGUUCACACACACACACGGUCGUUUUGUUCACACACACACACGGUCGUUUUGUUCACACACACACACGGUCGUUUUGUUCACACACACACGGUCGUUUUGUUCACACACACACGGUCGUUUUGUUCUCACACACACACACACACACACGGUCGUUUUGUUCACACACACACACGGUAGUUUUGUUCACACACACAAACACGGUCGUUUUGUUCACACACACACACGGUCGUUUUGUUCACACACACACACACACACACAGUCGUUUUGUUCACACACACGCACACACACAUACACACACGGUCGUUUUUUCAAACACACACACACAGUCGUUUUGUUCCACACACACACACACACACACGGUCGUUUUGUUCACACACACGGUCGUUUUGUUCACACACACACACACACGGUCGUUUUGUUCACACACACACACACACACACACACACACACACACACACGGUCGUUUUGUUCACACACACACGGUCGUUUUGUUCACACACACACACACACACGGUCGUUUUGUUCACACACACACACACACACCGUCG